UUUCCCUACCUCUCACAUACACAGUGGGCUGGAUGCUGGAUGCAAAGCUCCCUCGUCACAGCCCCAAAGACAGGACUUGACCAUCUCAGUGCAAUGACCCUGUGGUGCCUUCUCCCGAGGACCUAAGAGCCCCCUGAGCGCUUGCAAACACUGCAGACAAAGCGAGCCCUGGCACCAGCUCCCUGCCUGCCUGUUCUGUGAAGGGAGCCUACAAAACUGGCAGCCCCUGCAGUUCUGAGCUGCAGAACUGAUGAGCUGGGGCACCCUGAAACCUGACUCCAAAAUAGCAGCAAACCCAAGGCCAAAAGGAAGACAAGCGAGAAUCCCCCAAAAGCCAAGGUCAUCAUCAAGCCAGGAUGAGGACUGGAGGAGGAGCUGACAGCUCUGCCUCAAAUGGAUUUGGGAGCGAAGGCUUUUUCCAUAAGCUUUGGGGGUAAGUCACAGAGCUACCCCAAAUGUAACUUAGUCUCGGGGUCUCCUUCCUUUUCACCAGCUGUCCCCUUUGCUGGAGGAAGCUUUCCAGCCCAAACGAAGGGCUUAAGAGGAGUCUGGCCAUUCCUGGCAUCCAGUUAGACCUGGAGGAGGUGAACGGAGGAGAAGCCUGAGGGAGGGGUGUGUAUCCGGCCUGGGAAUUCCUCCCUCUCCCUUGCUAGCGCCCCAACCCGCCCUCAUCCUGUUCAGAGAGGGCACUUACAGGCCUCGGAGGCAGGGGAGGGUCUCCUCCUGGGGAACCAUCCCCGUCCAGAUGGUGCCCCCAACCAGCUGCGGCGGCAUGAUCUGGGCGGCUGGUCCAGGGCAUGGGUUGCGGAUCGUGUAGGGAAGAGGGGAACAGCAGUCGAGACCCUACUCCAAGUACGCAUCAAAGACGUCGAGCUCCGAGUCAGCAUCGUAAAGGCCCGAGCCGGGGUCGGAGAGCACGCCGAGGUCCACGAGCGCCUGGUCCAUGUCCUCGGGCAGGAAGACGAGGCCCACGUUGAGGACGAUGUACUCCAUGAGGAAGGCGUAGUACAGGAUCAGCACAUUGACGAAGAACAGGCCCACGUAGAACAUAGAGGGCAGCAGCGGCGGCGGCACGUAGGGGACCAGGGGGCCCAGUGCGUCCAGGUGGGCCGCGACCCGGGCGCCGAGCAUGCAGCGGGUGGCAAGGGCGGCGGCCCGGCGAUCCCGGCGAACUCAGCCGCUGCGGCGCCCGGGCGGCCGGCGAGGGCACAGCGCAGCCAUCCAGGGGUACCCUGGAGCCCGACAGAAGCAGGGCCGGGCUCCAGAUGUCCCCUGGCAAUUGCGCCCCGACCCCCGAAAUGCGCCGGGCGGGUCACCGCACCCCGAGAUGUGCCCCCAAGGAUCUCUCGACCGCCCGGGCGGCGAGGCGGGCCCCCCUGAAGUGGCCCGCGGCUGCCCGGCUCCCUCGUGGCGCCUCCCUGGCGCUCGCAGGGCCUCGCAGAGCCGGUGGGGAUCCCACCGCGGCUCAGUGUCUAGGGCCGGUCCCGGCAGCCUUCUCUCCCGCCCCGCCCCGCAGGUCCUCGCGCACCCCCCGCGCCCCCGCAGGCCCAGCACCCAUGGCUGCGGCCGCCGCGUAGCCCUCCCGGUGGCGCUCGGAGCUCCGCCUCCCGAGGGGCCCCGAGCUCAUUGGCAGGCCGCCCCCUGCACGCGCUAAUUGGCCGGCUCAACGCCCGCGCUGAUUGGCUCCGGCCGCCAGGGGGCGGGUACCGCUUCGCUCCGCCCCUCGGGGCCCUAGCGUCUGAGUUGCUUUCCUGGUUCGGGUCUGCCCUCAGAUCUCAAAUCGAAUUCGCUCUGCGUAUCGAAUAGGGGGAGGUAAAAGAGACUGAACACAGUUCAAACCUAGACAUAAUGCUAAGGCCGCAAAAGCCGAAGGAAACCCGGGCUACCGCUGCACCUUGCUGCAUGCCUCUUUGGGACUCCGUUUCUCCUUUAAAAGGAGGCGGGGUCGGGGAGGGGCGACGGACGGUUGCCCUGGAAAUUUUGGACAUUCCCAAAGCGCCAAUUUUCAUGGUGGAGAUCCACCAGUGUCCCCUUCGCUUCUCCAAACUCUGGUUGCUGGAAGGUCCGCCCACUACGGAACCUGCAUCCUAGAGUUAAGGAACACCUGAAUAAAGAGAUUCCGAGGUAGUUCAGAUCUUCAACCAUAA
This 2147-nucleotide long non-coding RNA is filed under the name Homo sapiens (human). Its description in RNAcentral is "long non-coding RNA NONHSAT140544.2". The record is from RNAcentral. Lineage: Eukaryota; Metazoa; Chordata; Mammalia; Primates; Hominidae.